This 274-nucleotide ribosomal RNA is filed under the name uncultured bacterium. RNAcentral's name for it is "partial 16S ribosomal RNA". It matches the Rfam family "Bacterial small subunit ribosomal RNA", at positions 523 to 796 of the family's 1533-position model. The record is from RNAcentral.
AUACGGAGGGUCCGAGCGUUAUCCGGAAUCAUUGGGUUUAAAGGGUCCGUAGGCGGGAAUCUAAGUCAGUGGUGCAAUCUUGCAGCUCAACUGUAAAAUUGCCAUUGAUACUGGAUUUCUUGAAUUAGUGUGAAGUGGUUAGAAUGUGUAGUGUAGCGGUGAAAUGCAUAGAUAUUACACAGAAUACCAAUUGCGAAGGCAGAUCACUAACACUAUAUUGACGCUGAGGGACGAAAGCGUGGGGAGCGAACAGGAUUAGAAACCCCAGUAGUCC